This 253-nucleotide ribosomal RNA is filed under the name uncultured bacterium. Its description in RNAcentral is "partial 16S ribosomal RNA". It matches the Rfam family "Bacterial small subunit ribosomal RNA", at positions 524 to 776 of the family's 1533-position model. The record is from RNAcentral.
UACGGAGGGUGCGAGCGUUGUUCGGAAUCACUGGGCGUAAAGCGCGUGUAGGCGGCCUCUUAAGUCUGAUGUGAAAGCCCGGGGCUCACCCCCGGAAGUGCAUUGGAUACUGGGGGGCUGGAGUACCGGAGAGGAGGGUGGAAUUCCUGGUGUAGCGGUGAAAUGCGUAGAUAUCAGGAGGAACACCGGUGGCGAAGGCGGCCCUCUGGACGGAUACUGACGCUGAGACGCGACAGCGUGGGGAGCAAACAGG